AUGGAUAGGAGGUCCCAUACUCAGCUCCUGGGGCUACUGCUGCUCUGGCUCUCAGGUGCCAGUUGUGACACCCAGAUGACCCAGACUCCAUCCUCCCUGUCUGCAUCUCCAGGAGACAAAGUCACCAUCACUUGCAGGGCCAGUCAGAGUAUUAGCAAUUACUUAAACUGGUUUCAGCAGAAACCAGGGAAUGCUCUUAAGCUCCUGAUCUACAAUACUAACAGUUUGGAAUCUGGGAUCCCAUCAAGGUUCAGUGGCAGUGGAUAUGGGACAGACUUCUCUCUCACUAUCAGCAGCUUGGAGCCUGAAGAUGUUGGGACUUAUUUCUGUCAGCAGUAUGAUGAGCUCCCACGCACAUAUGGCCAAGGAACACAGUCUAGUGUCAAAAAAUCAGUGCUGUGA
This is a non-coding RNA of Castor canadensis (American beaver), 402 nucleotides long. The record is from the annotation of a RefSeq genome assembly. NCBI's taxonomy places the organism in Eukaryota, Metazoa, Chordata, Mammalia, Rodentia, Castoridae.